This 1027-nucleotide ribosomal RNA is filed under the name Escherichia coli. RNAcentral describes it as "partial 23S ribosomal RNA". It matches the Rfam family "Bacterial large subunit ribosomal RNA", at positions 122 to 1191 of the family's 2925-position model. Lineage: Bacteria; Pseudomonadati; Pseudomonadota; Gammaproteobacteria; Enterobacterales; Enterobacteriaceae. The record is from RNAcentral.
GGAAACCCAGUGUGUUUCGACACACUAUCAUUAACUGAAUCCAUAGGUUAAUGAGGCGAACCGGGGGAACUGAAACAUCUAAGUACCCCGAGGAAAAGAAAUCAACCGAGAUUCCCCCAGUAGCGGCGAGCGAACGGGGAGGAGCCCAGAGCCUGAAUCAGUGUGUGUGUUAGUGGAAGCGUCUGGAAAGGCGCGCGAUACAGGGUGACAGCCCCGUACACAAAAAUGCACAUACUGUGAGCUCGAUGAGUAGGGCGGGACACGUGGUAUCCUGUCUGAAUAUGGGGGGACCAUCCUCCAAGGCUAAAUACUCCUGACUGACCGAUAGUGAACCAGUACCGUGAGGGAAAGGCGAAAAGAACCCCGGCGAGGGGAGUGAAAAAGAACCUGAAACCGUGUACGUACAAGCAGUGGGAGCCUCUUUUAUGGGGUGACUGCGUACCUUUUGUAUAAUGGGUCAGCGACUUAUAUUCUGUAGCAAGGUUAACCGAAUAGGGGAGCCGAAGGGAAACCGAGUCUUAACUGGGCGUUAAGUUGCAGGGUAUAGACCCGAAACCCGGUGAUCUAGCCAUGGGCAGGUUGAAGGUUGGGUAACACUAACUGGAGGACCGAACCGACUAAUGUUGAAAAAUUAGCGGAUGACUUGUGGCUGGGGGUGAAAGGCCAAUCAAACCGGGAGAUAGCUGGUUCUCCCCGAAAGCUAUUUAGGUAGCGCCUCGUGAAUUCAUCUCCGGGGGUAGAGCACUGUUUCGGCAAGGGGGUCAUCCCGACUUACCAACCCGAUGCAAACUGCGAAUACCGGAGAAUGUUAUCACGGGAGACACACGGCGGGUGCUAACGUCCGUCGUGAAGAGGGAAACAACCCAGACCGCCAGCUAAGGUCCCAAAGUCAUGGUUAAGUGGGAAACGAUGUGGGAAGGCCCAGACAGCCAGGAUGUUGGCUUAGAAGCAGCCAUCAUUUAAAGAAAGCGUAAUAGCUCACUGGUCGAGUCGGCCUGCGCGGAAGAUGUAACGGGGCUAAACCAUG